UGAUGCAGGUUCGGGUUUUCGUUUCCCGCUGACACAAACUGAGCCCAGUAACUAACUGGGAGAGAGAGGAGACGCUCCACCACCUGGGGGAGGGGGGGGGAGAGAGAGGAGGGAGGAUUAUUUCAGAGUGUUGCCUCAUCCUCUUAUGUUGGAGCCUUCAGUAAAACAGGGAGAAUUACUACUAAAUCUUCAGUAAAGUCAAUAUUUGUAUUCCGCUUUACAGAUGUUUGUCUGCCACAAAGAAUUCUGGGAACUGUAGUUCAGAACCACAUGUUUAAAGUUUACAACACAGGGGAGUUAAAUGACUGAUCUUGCUGGAGAACCCCCCCUACCUUGGGCUGUCUCUUGGUGUCCUGCAGGAUGGUCAUGGGGUCGGGGUUCGGGACGGCGUGACCCACGAUGGUCGGACCGAAGACUCGAGCCAGAUUAGUGAUGUCCAUCCUCGUGUCCAAGCUGUCUGCGACUCUGGAGACAUUUCAAAGAGUCAAGAGUCUUAAUAAAAACACAGUGUGUGUCUCUGCGGCGGCGUAUAGAAGGACGUCGUGUUUAUAAGCAUGUGUAAUCCCCGUUGCAGCGGAACAGGAAUAGAAUGCUGGGUUUCUGCAGAGUGACUUGAAGCAUGCUUUAUAAAUCAGCUGCUUCAAGACGUGCGCGGCUCUGAUUGGUUCAUCAGUGUUACCUCUGCAGGUGCAGGACCAGGAAGGCCAGCGUGUCUCUGUUGGCCGGCGGCAGAUCUCCCACCGUCUGGUACAUCAGAGCGACGCUGUUAUCAUCGUCGGACACCUCUGAGGAGACACGGAGAAAUAACCGUCCAUGAAGGGCCGGUUGAGGCGGAAGGUGAGCAGCGGCUCCUUCAGGUUCCUCAGGAAGUCCUUGAGGAGGCCGGUAAUGGCGUUGAUGUCGUCCACCCUGCUGAGCACCGGGACCGUCUUGCUGCGCAGGAACUUCUCCUUCAGGUCCUUCACGGUGCGGUCGGCGCCGGACAGACGGCGCAGCGUCCUCACAGCGGAGGAGUCCCAGUCCUGCAACAGAGCGACAGCACAGUCAGAUUUUCAAAAUAAAAGCACACGAUUCUCCACUGAGGGAAGUGAACAGGGGGAGCGCUCACCAGAGAGUCGUCCGUUUUGUCGUAGCUGAUGUCCGACAGGAUGGAGGCGGACUCAUCGAUCGUGGGCGGCGGGUGGCUGGCAGUUUGUGUUGAGGAAGGCGAGGGCGGAGCGCUGCUCUGCACUCAGCUGGAUGCUGUUGGAGGAUCCCUCGCUGGUCAGCAGGUCCCGGAUCAGCUGGAUCUGACGGUCCUGGUAGAGAGGGAACACACGAAUGAGAAACUGCCUGAACCAGAUCAAAAUACAGAGAAGACUGAAACAAAGUCAGGGGUUUUAAACACUAGAAUCUUCUGAAAACCGGAAAUGAACUCCUUCCCCAUUGUAAACUGAGACCCCCGCAGAGCCAUCAGCUCCUGCAGUGACUCCUGAUUGGAGGACGCUUUAAUAAUCCUUCCAGCCUACCAGCUUCUCGCAGUCCGCCUCGGCCCUCUGUCUGCGUCUGAUCUCCACGUCCACCUGGUUGCGGGCGUGUUUCAGUUUGACCUCCAGCGCCCCCCGCUCCGUUUCAGCCUUGGUGAGAACCUCCUGGCAGGAACCCAGAUCCAGCUCCGCUCGCUGCCACCGGCGCCGGCAGUCCUCAAAGUUCUGAGCCAUCUGGAUGAAGUCUGGGAUGAGAGGAGGAGGAGGAGGACCGUUAAUAAUGUGGCAGGCAUCUGUGCAGGAGUGUAAGGAGGCAUGUGUUUCGCAUUAAAGAGUAAGAGAUGAAGGCAAUACUCACUGGGUUCGAUGUUGUCAUUGAGGAGGUCAACCUGCGACCUCAGCUUAUCAUACAAGCUCUGCAGGUUCAGCACCGCAGUCUGCAUCAUGGCCUCUAUCUGAAGACCCUGGAAGUGCAUUUAAUUGAUAGGAGAACAAGUUCUGUGUUAUAUUGACCAUGGCUGCUGGUCACUGCUUCUCAGUUAGACGUCUGGCAAUAAUUAUUUCUGUGUCAUCAAGACUGUUUCUGAGUUUGUGUCCGGUUGUUUAUUUAAAGCCUCAGAGACCUGGGCGCCUAUUAGUGGAAAAAUGCAGUCAUACUCAAGAAGAUUAACAUAUGAACAGAGUAGAAGAGAAAGGAAACUGUUACAUGAGGCUGCAAAUGGAUCACAUUUGAAUAUUUAGGAUGUUAUUAUUCACGGACCUCUUUAUUCUAUUUGUGUUAUGCCUUUUCAUCUUUGGAAAAAAAAUCUGACUUUUAUUUCAUUGUUUUUUAUGCAUUAUUCAUAUAUUUUUUAAAUGUAUUUGGACUUUUAUGAUUUAUUCUAAAUAUCCCAUGUAUUUGGCAUUCUAUCCCCGUUUCAUUUUGUAGUUUAAAAGCAGCUUUUCUGAGGUACUUUACUUGAAGUACAUCAGAAAUGGUACAGUACUUGAGUAAAUCUACUACAAGAAUAAAAAAAGGUUAUGGUUCUUAUAGAUAGCGGAAAUGUAAUGCAUGUUUUAAUUGUAGUUGGUGUUAAAUGAGGACAUCUGGCAAAUAAGAGGAAGUGGAGAUGAUCUGAACACUCAAUGUAAACGGAAAAAAUGCAUCAAAAUCUCAAUUAGCCUCAUUAAACCACAUGCUCUCUUAAAUACCUACCUAACCUCGUUUGGUUCAGCUGUUUUCUUUUGUUUAUAUCCAAACUAAUGCUCAU
This is a long non-coding RNA of Eleginops maclovinus (Patagonian blennie), 2716 nucleotides long. RefSeq lists it as uncharacterized. The transcript has 5 exons. NCBI's taxonomy places the organism in Eukaryota, Metazoa, Chordata, Actinopteri, Perciformes, Eleginopidae. The record is from RefSeq and is a predicted model, not a curated record.